RNAcentral lists this ribosomal RNA (497 nucleotides) under uncultured bacterium. Its description in RNAcentral is "partial 16S ribosomal RNA". It matches the Rfam family "Bacterial small subunit ribosomal RNA", at positions 28 to 507 of the family's 1533-position model. The record is from RNAcentral.
GAUGAACGCUGGCGGCGUGCCUAAUACAUGCCAGUCGAGCGAACGGACGCGUAGCUUUCUUUUCUGAUGUUAGCGGCGGACGUGUUAGUAACACGUGGAUACCCUACCUAUAAGUCUGGGAUAACUUCGUGAACCCGUAGCUCAUACCGGCUAAUAUUUUGAACCGCAUGGUUCAAAGGUAAAAUUCGGUCUUGCUGUCUCUUAUAGAUGGUUCCGCGCUGCAUUAGGUAGUUGGUAAGGUAAUGGCUUACCAAGGCUACGAUGCAUAGCCGAGCUGAGAGGGUGAUCAGCCACACUGGAACUGAGACACGGUCCAGACUCCUACGGGAGGCAGCAGUAGGGAAUCUUCCGCAAUGGGCGAAAGCCUGACGGAGCAACGCCGCGUGAGUGAUGAAGGUCUUCGGAUCGUAAAACGCUGUUAUUAGGGAAGAACAUAUGUGGAAGUAAAUGUGCACAUCUUGACGGUACCGAAACAGAAAGCCACGGCUAACUACGUG